GCCGACAGCGGCAACUCGCAGGGGUCCACUUCUGUGUGGUGGAAGCUUUGUCCUUUGCUUCUUUAUAGCUGCUACUGCUCACUUUUUGGGUCCGUGCCAUUUGUAAGAACUGUAACACUGCCGUCUUUGAGAGCUGUAACACUGGUGGGCGCUUUGGGAGGCUGAGGUAGGUGGAUCAGGAGGUCGAGAGAUUUGCGACCAUCCUGGCUAAUACGGUGAAACCCUGUAGCCACUAAAAAUGCAAAAAGAAAAAAAAAAAGCUGGCGCGGCGUGGUGGUGGGCGCGUGUAGUCCCAGCUGCUCAGGAGGAGGAGGCAGGAGAAUGGCCGGAACGGGGGAGGCGGAGCUUGCAGUGAGCCAAGACCGCGCCACUGCCCUCUGGCGUGAGGAACAGCGGGAGACUCGGUCUCAAAAAGAAAAGAGCUGUAACACUCACCACGAAGGCCCGGCUUCGUUCUUGAAGGCAGCGAGACCACGAACACCCUGGCCGGCAGCAACUGCAGACACAUAAUCACAAGAAAGGACUGAGCCAAUUCUGAUCAGCAGGCAGCAGCCAUUACCCUCUGAAGGUCAACGCAGUUAGGUGCAGUGACAGACACACUUGGAGGUGCCACAGCCUCCUGCGUGUCCUUGUACUCCAUGUCCAUUUGGUCUUCUUCACUGUGGGGCAUCCUCCUGGCCAACAAUAACUCCGACCAUCUUCAGGUGCUUGGCUGAAGAAAUAGCUUGCUGUAGAUGUCUCCUCUGCUUUCAUGGACCAGCGUUGGCAGUGCGACGAGCUUGAUUUCUCAGACCAGCUAGUUGGUGACUCCUCCGCUCUGCACACUUCCCUCUCAUACCUUCUCUUCUCUAGCUCCUCCUGCAACUGGCAAGGUCUCGUUCCCGUAAUAGAUCUCUCAUCCCAUGACCCAUUCUGGUUCUGCCCACCUGAGGAACCCUGGAGGAUGCCCCUGAAUAUUACCAUCUGCAGUGGGCAGUGUUCUCUCUGUCCCUUGAGGUUAUGAAAUUUCCAUCUUGUUCAACUUCAGAGAAGUAGAGUAUGUUCUAGCCCAGGAAGGACACUCACUCUCUCACUCACUCUGAUUUUGGCAGGUUCUAAAUCUGUCAUAACCUCACACAUCCAGUUAUUCAUGGACAAGGGAACAUGAGCUCAAUCUGACUUCUGCUUUUGGAGAGAAAGUGGGUGACCUGAUGUGUUUCUGAGAAAUGAGUCUAGGGAGGUGUGUGCCCCACUCUCUGCUCACUGCAUAUGUCCCCAUUGCAAGCACAUUUGUACCCCAGUGCUCAUCUUUACCUUUAUGAUGUCCUCCCAGGUGAGAAAUCACCCAAGUGGUCAUUGCCACCCCCUACUAUUUCAGUGUUUGGGGUUUUGGAAAUGAUUUACUGACAUUGUAUCAGAGCAUAGUAACAUUUAAUCAGGGGCUGGCUUUCUCAAGGACAAAUAUUUUCUGACAUCAGUUCCUAAGCAGAAGAGGCCAACAGCAUCUGAGGAUCCCUUUGUUUGGGUUUCUGGCAGUUACCUCCCUUCCCAGGGUGAACAGUGACUCUGCUGUAUGAGGAUUUACUUAUCUUCCUGUCCUGUGUUUUUGACAUUCUGAACAAAGUUUCUGGGGAGUAAACUUUAUGUUUAAACCAUGUUUAUGUUAAGCUUUAUCUGUUCAAAAAUCAAGUAUAUAUAGUUGAUCAUAAAAUAAUGACAUUAUAGAAAAUGUGAACAAAUAUAGAAAUGUUUUUGGUGGAACAUAAGUCACUCUAAAUCUCUCAACCCAGAAAUAC
Molecule: long non-coding RNA, 1775 nt
Filed under: Homo sapiens (human)
Lineage: Eukaryota; Metazoa; Chordata; Mammalia; Primates; Hominidae
Description: HSALNT0380353
Source: RNAcentral